RNAcentral lists this ribosomal RNA (468 nucleotides) under uncultured bacterium. Its description in RNAcentral is "partial 16S ribosomal RNA". It matches the Rfam family "Bacterial small subunit ribosomal RNA", at positions 28 to 507 of the family's 1533-position model. The record is from RNAcentral.
GACGAACGCUGGCGGCGUGCUUAACACAUGCAAGUCGAACGGAAAGGCCCUGCUUUUGUGGGGUGCUCGAGUGGCGAACGGGGGAGUGACACGUGAGUAACCUGCCCUUGACUUUGGGAUAACUUCAGGAAACUGGGGCUAAUACCGGAUAGGAGCUCCUGCUGCGUGGUGGGGGUUGGAAAGUUUCGGCGGUUGGGGAUGGACUCGCGGCUUAUGAGCUUGUUGGUGGGGUAGUGGCUUACCAAGGCUUUGACGGGUAGCCGGCCUGAGAGGGUGACCGGCCACAUUGGGACUGAGAUACGGCCCAGACUCCUACGGGAGGCAGCAGGGGGGAAUAUUGCACAAUGGGCGGAAGCCUGAUGCAGCAACGCCGCGUGCGGGAUGACGGCCUUCGGGGUGUAACCCGCUUUCGCCUUUGACGAAGCGUGAGUGACGGUAAUGGGUAAAGAAGCACCGGCUAACUACGUG